Molecule: long non-coding RNA, 944 nt
Filed under: Brassica napus (rape)
Lineage: Eukaryota; Viridiplantae; Streptophyta; Magnoliopsida; Brassicales; Brassicaceae
Description: long non-coding RNA (BNAP_LNC024819)
Source: RNAcentral
AGCAUGAGUUGGAAGUUAAAUGAGGAUAUGAAGAGAAAAUUGUUGUUACUUGUUUCUUAAGUCUUUGCGUUCCAUCAGUACGUAGAGGCUUUUCUUUCAGGGGUUUCUCCUUACUUAGAAUUUGGCUGAUGCAACGAACUCUGCCUGAUAUAAGUCUGGUUGGGACUCCGCGGUCUUAGGUGAAAGAUGAACAUGCUCAAAGAAGAUGCUAUGCAGAGCAAUAUUUGAAAAGCAUGAUUAGUACAUUGUCCUAAGCUCGCAUAUUAACAUCUUAACAUUUUCCUUUUCAAUUUGAAUAUUGCAAGAUUUUGAGAGUCCAUGGGUUCUACAAUCUUUUGUUAACCUUUAGGGCUCCACGGAGAAAGUUGUCGGAUGGGCGUGACUAACAAGUGAAGCUGUUUUGUUUUGUUGAUAUACCAUGGAUGUCACAUUGUCAUAAAUGAAAUAUCUUCAAGGAGUUACUUUGAUAGACGACUCAACACCUAAAAGGAGAUCUGAAAUUUCCUGUUUUUAUGGUCAUGUUGUGUGAUCAAGGGAAAAGGGCAUUUUUAGAAACCAACAAUUUGCGUCGUGGUUUUUUAGACCCAAACAAAACAUAAGUGCGAAAUCAUUCCUAUACUGAGAUUUUUUUAAAAAAAAUUCGACCCAAACUUUACUCUGUAACAUAAAAUUCUACUUUGACUAACUUAUCGUUAGUCAACCGUUAAACCAUGCUUAGUCGGAUAAGGAAAAAAGUGCUGAUUUCAGCCCAUACAAUUUUAGUCGUGCCUUUUCAGACCUGAACAAUGGGUAAAUGCGAUUUCAUACACAAACUGAAUAGUAAUUUGAAUUUCAUACUUGAAGGAUUCAAGUAUAAAGAUCAUAGGAGAAGUUCAGCUGAGUAAUAGUUAAGUGUUGGGAGACUCUUUAUGAGUCGGAAGGUUUGUAAUACUCUAAAGUUGGCC